GUACCCCGAGGAAAAGAAAUCAACCGAGAUUCCCCCAGUAGCGGCGAGCGAACGGGGAGGAGCCCAGAGCCUGAAUCAGUGUGUGUGUUAGUGGAAGCGUCUGGAAAGGCGCGCGAUACAGGGUGACAGCCCCGUACACAAAAAUGCACAUAUUGUGAGCUCGAUGAGUAGGGCGGGACACGUGGUAUCCUGUCUGAAUAUGGGGGGACCAUCCUCCAAGGCUAAAUACUCCUGACUGACCGAUAGUGAACCAGUACCGUGAGGGAAAGGCGAAAAGAACCCCGGCGAGGGGAGUGAAAAAGAACCUGAAACCGUGUACGUACAAGCAGUGGGAGCCUCUUAAUGGGGUGACUGCGUACCUUUUGUAUAAUGGGUCAGCGACUUAUAUUCUGUAGCAAGGUUAACCGAAUAGGGGAGCCGAAGGGAAACCGAGUCUUAACUGGGCGUUAAGUUGCAGGGUAUAGACCCGAAACCCGGUGAUCUAGCCAUGGGCAGGUUGAAGGUUGGGUAACACUAACUGGAGGACCGAACCGACUAAUGUUGAAAAAUUAGCGGAUGACUUGUGGCUGGGGGUGAAAGGCCAAUCAAACCGGGAGAUAGCUGGUUCUCCCCGAAAGCUAUUUAGGUAGCGCCUCGUGAAUUCAUCUCCGGGGGUAGAGCACUGUUUCGGCAAGGGGGUCAUCCCGACUUACCAACCCGAUGCAAACUGCGAAUACCGGAGAAUGUUAUCACGGGAGACACACGGCGGGUGCUAACGUCCGUCGUGAAGAGGGAAACAACCCAGACCGCCAGCUAAGGUCCCAAAGUCAUGGUUAAGUGGGAAACGAUGUGGGAAGGCCCAGACAGCCAGGAUGUUGGCUUAGAAGCAGCCAUCAUUUAAAGAAAGCGUAAUAGCUCACUGGUCGAGUCGGCCUGCGCGGAAGAUGUAACGGGGCUAAACCAUGCACCGAAGCUGCGGCAGCGACACUAUGUGUUGUUGGGUAGGGGAGCG
Molecule: ribosomal RNA, 991 nt
Filed under: Escherichia coli
Lineage: Bacteria; Pseudomonadati; Pseudomonadota; Gammaproteobacteria; Enterobacterales; Enterobacteriaceae
Description: partial 23S ribosomal RNA
Rfam family: Bacterial large subunit ribosomal RNA
Source: RNAcentral